GUGAGAUGUUGGGUUAAGUCCCGCAUCGAGCGCAACCCUUGAUCUUAGUUGCCAGCAUUCAGUUGGGCACUCUAAGGUGACUGCCGGUGACAAACCGGAGGAAGGUGGGGAUGACGUCAAAUCAUCAUGCCCCUUAUGACCUGGGCUACACACGUGCUACAAUGGAUGGUACAAAGGGCUGCAAACCUGCGAAGGUAAGCGAAUCCCAUAAAGCCAUUCUCAGUUCGGAUUGCAGGCUGCAACUCGCCUGCAUGAAGCCGGAAUCGCUAGUAAUCGCGGAUCAGCAUGCCGCGGUGAAUACGUUCCCGGGCCUUGUACACACCGCCCGUCACAACACGAGAGUUUGUAACACCCGAAGUCGGUGAGGUAACCUUCAUGGAGCCAGCCGCCUAAGGUGACAGAGUUGGG
Molecule: ribosomal RNA, 408 nt
Filed under: Caryophanales bacterium
Lineage: Bacteria; Bacillati; Bacillota; Bacilli; Caryophanales
Description: bacterial SSU rRNA
Rfam family: Bacterial small subunit ribosomal RNA
Source: RNAcentral